UUCGUUCUUCCUGGGAGGCAUGUUCUAUAAAUGGAAGGAAGAAAAGGAUAAGACAGGGAGUUUAACUUGAGCUCCUUCUCACUCGCACGACAUGAAUACUGAAAGAAGGGAAACUUUCCUAAAUGCCUUGUAGCCUCUCAUCCAUAAGUGUGGCGCGCUACACACCCAUGCAUAAAACUAUACUUAAUGCGACUUUCAGACUUCCUAGGACACUUUAAAA
This 220-nucleotide long non-coding RNA is filed under the name Capsicum annuum. RNAcentral describes it as "long non-coding RNA (CANN_LNC014739)". Lineage: Eukaryota; Viridiplantae; Streptophyta; Magnoliopsida; Solanales; Solanaceae. The record is from RNAcentral.